This 253-nucleotide unclassified non-coding RNA is filed under the name uncultured Idiomarinaceae bacterium. Its description in RNAcentral is "contains 16S-23S intergenic spacer region". It matches the Rfam family "Bacterial small subunit ribosomal RNA", at positions 524 to 776 of the family's 1533-position model. Lineage: Bacteria; Pseudomonadati; Pseudomonadota; Gammaproteobacteria; Alteromonadales; Idiomarinaceae. The record is from RNAcentral.
UACGGAGGGUGCGAGCGUUAAUCGGAAUUACUGGGCGUAAAGCGCACGUAGGCGGCUUGUUAAGCAGGAUGUGAAAGCCCAGGGCUCAACCUUGGAAUUGCAUUUUGAACUGGCAAGCUAGAGUUUUGAAGAGGGUGGUAGAAUUUCCAGUGUAGCGGUGAAAUGCGUAGAUAUUGGAGGGAAUACCAGUGGCGAAGGCGGCCUUCUGGACUGACACUGACACUGAGGUGCGAAAGCGUGGGUAGCAAACAGG